AUGGGUGCUUGUUACGACAAGAACGUCGUUAUUGUGUACUCGUAUGAAACGACCGUUUUCAACAGUGAUUUGCGACGCCAAGGCGUGUAUUCGUUGAGGUAUUCUGAUGGGCUAACCUGUGGUUGCGUGAAGUCGGAUAAUAUGUUACCAGAAGGUUGCGCAAGGUUUCGUUAACUUCACUGCUUGGAGUCACCAUUGUAUCGGAGCUCUCCCACCAAGCUGACCUCGGAACAAUUUUUGUAGAUUCCGCUACGAGAUUCCAGCCACACACCGGUUGACCCCAAAUCCUCAAUGCCUGAACCAUUUGGCCUUUCCAGCUGUGGCUGUUCGGAUGAGUGUGCGCCUUGCUCGGAAACAUCCGGCCAGGAAAACCAAGUACGAGGACAUGUUUUGCUGAAGCUUUCUUGUCCUGAUUUCCAAUGAUGAUGCAUCAUCGACACUCGACUAUACGCAAGAAUUUGUUCUGGAUGGAAAUCUCUGUCUGCAGGGUGACAUUUGGUGUAUGUUAUUGUAGCAUUGGGACACUCUUGUCUAAACUGUGAUAGCAAAUAUGUGCGUGAAAAUUGCGAGAAAUAAGCGCAAUAUACUGGUUUAUCGUUCUGUAAACUAAUGACCUGUUAGCAAUACUACUGCUCUCAACGAGGUUUUAUGCAUUGUGUCGAUAAAUAGUCAAGUGUUCAAAUGUAAUUAGAAUUUGCUUAACAUGUAACAGUGCAUUAGCGCAAGCUGACUUAUGCAGGAAAUCCGCUUGCUAUAGAAGGCUGUUUCGACAAGCAACUUUCAUAGAAAAAAAAAAGAAACUGGUAGUGCUAGGCACAAUGUGCUGGUCAUCUGCACUGCAUAAUCAGUUCACUGCAUAAUCAUUAUUCACGCACAUGUUGCUAUAAGCUGUCGUUUCUGGAAAAUGGUAUUGUGUACAGCCAAUGAACGGUGUGAAUCCUGCAGCUAUAUUUUGUAUACAAUGAAUUGUGUCAAACAUUCUAUUAUUCUUGUGUAACCGAUGCAGAAUGCCAACAUUUGUAUUUAUUGUACAAGAUGUACAGCUUUGUGCUAAAGAGGCCUGUAUAGAGUUUUAUCUUUUGAAAUACGCUGCUAAUAAAAACAGUUACUAAACCACA
RNAcentral lists this long non-coding RNA (1118 nucleotides) under Rhipicephalus microplus (southern cattle tick). RNAcentral's name for it is "uncharacterized LOC119161100, transcript variant X3". The record is from RNAcentral. Lineage: Eukaryota; Metazoa; Arthropoda; Arachnida; Ixodida; Ixodidae.